AAUGUUUUAAUGGUUGUCGUUGAUCGAUUCUCAAAGUACGGACAUUUUUUUGCUCUCACUCACCCGUACACCGCUGUAAGUGUUGCUCGCACCUUCUUUGACAACAUUUUUAAAUUACAUGGGUUGCCAGAAACUAUGGUCAGUGACAGGGAUGUGACUUUCACAAGUUCUUUUUGGAAAGAACUAUUCCGUUUAUGUGGG
RNAcentral lists this unclassified non-coding RNA (201 nucleotides) under Hevea brasiliensis (rubber tree). Lineage: Eukaryota; Viridiplantae; Streptophyta; Magnoliopsida; Malpighiales; Euphorbiaceae. The record is from RNAcentral.